Molecule: ribosomal RNA, 466 nt
Filed under: uncultured bacterium
Lineage: Bacteria
Description: partial 16S ribosomal RNA
Rfam family: Bacterial small subunit ribosomal RNA
Source: RNAcentral
GACGAACGCUGGCGGCGCGCCUAACACAUGCAAGUCGAACGAGCGAGAGAGAGCUUGCUUUCUUGAGCGAGCGGCGAACGGGUGAGUAACGCGUGAGGAACCUGCCUCAAAGAGGGGGACAACAGUUGGAAACGACUGCUAAUACCGCAUAAGCCCACGGUGCCGCAUGGCACAGAGGGAAAAGGAGCAAUCCGCUUUGAGAUGGUCUCGCGUCCGAUUAGCUAGUUGGUGAGGUAACGGCCCACCAAGGCGACGAUCGGUAGCCGGACUGAGAGGUUGAACGGCCACAUUGGGACUGAGACACGGCCCAGACUCCUACGGGAGGCAGCAGUGGGGAAUAUUGCACAAUGGGGGAAACCCUGAUGCAGCGACGCCGCGUGGAGGAAGAAGGUCUUCGGAUUGUAAACUCCUGUUGUUGGGGAAGAUAAUGACGGUACCCAACAAGGAAGUGACGGCUAACUACGUG